RNAcentral lists this ribosomal RNA (654 nucleotides) under Bacillus tropicus. RNAcentral describes it as "bacterial SSU rRNA". It matches the Rfam family "Bacterial small subunit ribosomal RNA", at positions 104 to 743 of the family's 1533-position model. The record is from RNAcentral. Lineage: Bacteria; Bacillati; Bacillota; Bacilli; Caryophanales; Bacillaceae.
GGGUGAGUAACACGUGGGUAACCUGCCCAUAAGACUGGGAUAACUCCGGGAAACCGGGGCUAAUACCGGAUAACAUUUUGAACCGCAUGGUUCGAAAUUGAAAGGCGGCUUCGGCUGUCACUUAUGGAUGGACCCGCGUCGCAUUAGCUAGUUGGUGAGGUAACGGCUCACCAAGGCAACGAUGCGUAGCCAACCUGAGAGGGUGAUCGGCCACACUGGGACUGAGACACGGCCCACACUCCUACGGGAGGCAGCAGUAGGGAAUCUUCCGCAAUGGACGAAAGUCUGACGGAGCAACGCCGCGUGAGUGAUGAAGGCUUUCGGGUCGUAAAACUCUGUUGUUAGGGAAAAACAAGUGCUAGUUGAAUAAGCUGGCACCUUGACGGUACCUAACCAAAAAGCCACGGCUAACUACGUGCCAGCAGCCGCGGUAAUACGUAGGUGGCAAGCGUUAUCCGGAAUUAUUGGGCGUAAAGCGCGCGCAGGUGGUUUCUUAAGUCUGAUGUGAAAGCCCACGGCUCACCCGUGGAGGGUCAUUGGAAACUGGGAGACUUGAGUGCAGAAGAGGAGAGUGGAAUUCCAUGUGUAGCGGUGAAAUGCGUAGAGAUAUGGAGGAACACCAGUGGCGAAGGCGACUUUCUGGUCUGUAACUGA